CCUACGGGAGGCAGCAGUGGGGAAUAUUGCACAAUGGGGGAACCCUGAUGCAGCGACGCCGCGUGAGUGAAGAAGUAUCUCGGGAUGUAAAGCUCUAUCAGCAGGGGAGAAAAUGACGGUACCUGACUACGGAACCCAGGCUAACUACAUGCCAGCAGCCGCGGUAAUAAGUAGGGGGCAAGCGUUAUCCGGAGUUAGUGGGUGUAAAGGGAGCGUAGACGGCGCUGCAAGUCCGGAGUGAAAGCCCAUGGCUUAACCAUGGUACUGCUGUGGAAACUGUGGAGCUUGAGUGCGAGAGGGGCAGGCGGAAUUCCUAGUGUAGCGGUGAAAUGCGUAGAUAUUAGGAGGAACACCGUCGGCGAAGGCGGCCUUCUGGACCGUAACUGACGUUGAGGCUCGAAAGCGUGGGGAGCAAACAGGAUUAGAUACCCGAGUAGUC
Molecule: ribosomal RNA, 439 nt
Filed under: uncultured bacterium
Lineage: Bacteria
Description: partial 16S ribosomal RNA
Rfam family: Bacterial small subunit ribosomal RNA
Source: RNAcentral